AGUGAACGCUGGCGGUAGGCCUAACACAUGCAAGUCGAACGGCAGCACAGUAAGAGCUUGCUCUUACGGGUGGCGAGUGGCGGACGGGUGAGGAAUACAUCGGAAUCUACUUUUUCGUGGGGGAUAACGUAGGGAAACUUACGCUAAUACCGCAUACGACCUACGGGUGAAAGCAGGGGAUCUUCGGACCUUGCGCGAUUGAAUGAGCCGAUGUCGGAUUAGCUAGUUGGCGGGGUAAAGGCCCACCAAGGCGACGAUCCGUAGCUGGUCUGAGAGGAUGAUAAGCCACCCUGGAACUGAGAAACGGUCCAGACUCCUACGGGAGGCAGAAGUGGGGAAUAUUGGAAAAUGGGCGCAAGCCUGAUCAAGCCAUACCGCGUGGGUGAAGAAGGCCUUCGGGUUGUAAAGCCCUUUUGUUGGGAAAGAAAAGAAGCAGGUUAAUACCCCGCUGUUCUGACGGGACCCAAAGAAUAAGCACCGGCUAACUUCGU
RNAcentral lists this ribosomal RNA (491 nucleotides) under uncultured bacterium. RNAcentral's name for it is "partial 16S ribosomal RNA". It matches the Rfam family "Bacterial small subunit ribosomal RNA", at positions 29 to 506 of the family's 1533-position model. The record is from RNAcentral.